UUCGGUGGGAGCGGCAGACGGGUGAGUAACGCGUGGGAAUCUACCCAACUCUACGGAAUAACUCAGGGAAACUUGUGCUAAUACCGUAUACGCCCUUCGGGGGAAAGAUUUAUCGGAGUUGGAUGAGCCCGCGUUGGAUUAGCUAGUUGGUGGGGUAAAGGCCUACCAAGGCGACGAUCCAUAGCUGGUCUGAGAGGAUGAUCAGCCACACUGGGACUGAGACACGGCCCAGACUCCU
Molecule: ribosomal RNA, 238 nt
Filed under: uncultured bacterium
Lineage: Bacteria
Description: partial 16S ribosomal RNA
Rfam family: Bacterial small subunit ribosomal RNA
Source: RNAcentral